This 197-nucleotide ribosomal RNA is filed under the name Robertmurraya kyonggiensis. RNAcentral describes it as "Bacillus kyonggiensis partial 16S ribosomal RNA". It matches the Rfam family "Bacterial small subunit ribosomal RNA", at positions 1 to 193 of the family's 1533-position model. Lineage: Bacteria; Bacillati; Bacillota; Bacilli; Caryophanales; Bacillaceae. The record is from RNAcentral.
UUUAUUGGAGAGUUUGAUCCUGGCUCAGGACGAACGCUGGCGGCGUGCCUAAUACAUGCAAGUCGAGCGGAUCUUUGGGAGCUUGCUCCCAAAGAUUAGCGGCGGACGGGUGAGUAACACGUGGGCAACCUGCCUGUAAGACUGGGAUAACUUCGGGAAACCGGAGCUAAUACCGGAUAAUGCUUUUGAACUCAUGU